Molecule: long non-coding RNA, 4594 nt
Organism: Apis cerana (Asiatic honeybee)
Lineage: Eukaryota; Metazoa; Arthropoda; Insecta; Hymenoptera; Apidae
Source: RefSeq, a predicted model, not a curated record
CGCUGAAAAUUCGAAAUUACGUAAAAUCUUUAUCAUAUUCUUCAUAUUCUUCAUGAGAAAAGGAAAAUAGUAAUUUUUAAAAUGUUGGCAAUAGUUCUAGCAUCUCGAUUCAUGAGAAAAGGAAUGAUAAUUUUUAAAAUGUUGGCAAUAAUUAGCAUCUCGAUCCUGUGUUCUCGACAUCGAUUUCCUAUUGGUUCGAGUGAAUUGUUGCACGUAACCAGAUCGUGCAUGUGCGAAGUGUCACGAUAUUUUGAAUAAAAAAAUGUAUAUUGAAAUAAUAUACGAAGAGAAGAUUGCACGCGUUUGCGCUGAUAGGAUGUUAUCCUAGGUCAGGUCUACCGAGCAUGCUUGGUACAUGCACUGUUACGGAUGAUCGAUAUGAUGGUUACCGGCUAAUAUCAUCAGCUGAUUGGUUGGUCAUAUGCCAAAACGAUUCGAUUCGUCAGGUGGUUUCAUUCAGCUUUUCCACUGACUUCAUUAUUGUAUUCAUAUAUGUGCAUAUAUAUAUACAUAAGAUAGACCGAAAAAAAAAGAAAAGUGUUCAGGAUGUAGAUGGUCAUUUGAUAUAAUAAAACGUUGAAAUAUUAAAUAAAUGGGAACAAGUAAUCUGUUUCCAACUCUCAAUUUUAAUAUAUAUUCGUUGAUAUAGGGAAGAACGAAGAAACAGAAUCGCAAAGAGAUAUUAAAAAAAUUUGAGAUCAUUUGUUUGAAACUUAACUUGGAAUUCUAUAAUUUGCAUAUCAAAAUGUAAACUUUUAUUUUUCACGUUUUCUGUUAAUUAUAAUGCUUAUCGCAUGAUCUUGUUGAAUAUAAAUUCUUGGAAUAAAACUCUGAGAAUUAUUAUGCAUUUCAUGGAAGUAUCGACGCUAACUAGAAGUCUAUUCUCGUCGGUUGAUUAACUGGUGAUAUGUCAAGUAACAGUCAAGUUUGACCUACUUUUGCUGGCUGGUUCCAUUCAGCUUUUCGUGGACCCACCCCUUAGAAGUUACCCUAUUGCGUCACAAGUAUCGAACGUCCCGAUAACUGCACCAAACUGUACAUAUAUAUAUAUUUUGUUCGUCUGUGUGCGAGUUCACGCGUCCACAGACGAACACGUUCGAAAACACGUACACGCCCACGUGAACGCGACAGUUUAUUGGAAAAUUUUCCAACUGACGCGAUCAUUUUAUGAUUAAAUUUGUACAAUUUUUUUUUCGAAAGUAAUUUUUUUCUUAAUACUUACAUUUUUUAUGUACAAAUGUACAUAUGUUUUUGCGACAAGUUUAUUAUUUCCAUUAUCGAUUGCAAAUUUUAAUUAAUUCAAUUAUUUUCUGACAUGUGAAAAACUCAUUAAAAAUACAAUUAGCUAUAGCUCUAAUAUUCAUUUUUUUCACUCUGUUGCUGAGAAUAUAAAUUAAUUAAGAUUUAGUGAUUAAUUUUUCGUAUUUUUUUUCUUUUAACGCCAAUAAUGGAAAUUAAGCUCGUUAUUACAAUUAUGCGAUUUUUACAAGAUUUUAUAAUCUUUUAAAUCUUUUUUUUCUAUGUAAUAGAAAUCAUUUCGUUUAUAUUAUUUUAUAAUAUCGUAAGUGAAAUGACAUGUGACAUUUAUUUACAGGUCAAGUAAUAUACACUUGGAACUACGUUGGCGCAUAAAAAUAAAAGUUUGACGUAAGAAACUUAAAAGUAAUUGAUCAUGCUGUGACGUAUAGUAGAACGUCAUUGUCUCUACGUCUUUUAGUUAAUGAUGACGAUUCUAUGUAAACGUGGUACGCUAUAAAUACCAUCGAUAGCCUUCGUUACAAAACUAUCGACUUCCGAUUUGAAUUGGAACGUCUAGAGCUUUUCUUAUAGUAUCCAAUAUAGCGUGUACCGUAGAUUGUUAAUGAUAAAAAUGAGGGGAAAAAGAAGAUGGAAAAAGACGAAAAUUAUAAAUUGCACCCUUUUUUUUACAGGUGUUCUAAUCUUUUUAUAAUGCCUCCUCGUCACAAUUUCCACGAAUUAUUGUGGCGAAAUUAACGAGAGGACUGCGCCGAUCAACUUUGAUAACGACAGCUUCUCCAAGUCGUAUUGAACCGACUUGGUCGUCAAGUCUACUGGCGUUUCUGCCGAGGGCAACGCCCUCGCCAGCCCUCUCAUCCCCAUUCAGAAGAAACGUCGAAGAAAAAGAGGGAUGUUCCGAGCAAGAGAAGGAUUUCCGGCCAAUCUUCGAUAUCUUCUUAUCUGGUGGAUGGUGAUUCUCCCAAGGAUGAAGAGAACCAGCUAGUUCGGCUGAUCGGGGUAGAAUGAACGUUGGGGCUGAGCAGGACGGCUAGAAAACUGGCGAGAGGGUACGGUCGAUCAACCACCCCCCACCUUAGCGCCCCUACCCCGAAGCAACCCCUACCGCGUCUCUGCGAAGUGAUAUGACGUGACGCACACGCGCACGAUUAUACGGACCUUCUAUGUGGAACGUGCACACACACGUGGGCACACCUAUUGUGCCACGAAACGCGUCUGCCCACGCGAUGACCCGACCAGAUCUUCGGGCUAUCUUUGAAAAUCUUCCCUCGCAUCUUGGCCGCAUGUUAUUGUUUUAAAAAUUAUUAAACCGUCCUGACUUAUUUUCUUAUUAAUUUCUCCUUCGAUUAAGUCUCGAUCCCACGAAAUAACUCUCCUUAUUAACGUUAUAUUUAUAUUUUAAGAAAGAUCUAGUAUCCAUCAUUUUAAUUAAUUUCAAUAUUUCAAUCGAAUGUUCAUUCAAACUUUUCAUCUAUGUACAUUCUAUGAAAAAUAUCGUGGAUCGCUUCUCGAUCGAUUAUCCACUACUUCUUUUUUCGAAUGUUUAUCGAAUGGUUCGGUGAGAGAAAGAAAAGCGACGUUUUUAAUUAAAAAAGAUUUUUUUUCGAAGUCAUUCAUCGGGCCGUUUUCGUUGAGAAAAAAUAUUCGAGAUAUCAAGGCUCGUUUCCUCGUGUGGUUCUCAUCGCAAAUCCGUAUUUUCUUUCACGUCUGGAACAGCGUUGUGCAGGAGGAAUUGUAGCACCGUUUUCCGUAUUCAGUCCCCGGCCACUUUUCUUCAACCCCCGCAACAGGCCAAACGCCUACGCCAUCGUAUAACGCCCACGUCCACCCGACGCCCACGCAUAUGAGAAAGGGAGGGAGGGGGGAACGAGGCAACCAAAAAAACGAGGAGUAAAGUGAGAAAAGGAGAAUAAUUGCAGUCAGACGAUAUGCAUAAAAUUUUGCGAGAGAAGCCGGAAAAUUCUCGGAAGCAACCACUCUUUAGCAAAGUGUUUACUUGAGAUACGACGCAUCCUAGCGCACUACGUACUUCAGUAAUUGACCUAUUUCCAAAGAAUCGGCUGCACGCUUGCGCGAAUUAAAGUAGUUGUUGCACAAAACAAGCGCAACUCGCCUCGUUGGAGUUCUCGUAAAGUAACAAUGUUCGUAAAAUAUCAUGGGAACGUUUUAUGGUGACAGAUGCUCGAAAACGAUCUUAAUAAACGCGAAGAGAUUUGUUUUAAUUGCGAUUAUUUAAUUAUUGUAUAUUAACGAUGAGAAAAAGAAACAUUAAAAAUAUUUAACUUUUUCCUGCUUCGAUUAGGAAAAAUAAAAAUUGAUAAAAAUUAUUUAACAUUUGAGAGAUAAGGAAAAAUAUUUUUGUAUUCGAUCGCAUUCCGAGAUGAAUUUUAUAAAACGAAUAAAAUGGAAUCAUUAACGCCACACCCUCAACCAUUGACGAAACAUAUAUAUUCUCUCUUUGAAUGUACUUAUUCAGAGACACGUGACUGUAUUUCCUCGAGAAGCAAAUGGGAAAAUUAAUUUUCGUAAAUUCACUAGCUAUUCCGAAGAGGAUACAUCCGAACCGAGGAUACAGCCGUCGUUGUAAUUACGGGGGAGCAAAUUCUGUGAAAUAAUAUAAUUCGACGUGCUCGACCCGAAGGUUGGUUCCCAUUGACGUCAGUCGUUGGUUCUGGAAACGACGAAUCCCCGUGCUUCGAAAACUUAGUGGGGGACAUACGCGUCGUGAGGAAAUGAUUCGUAGGAGGGGAGCAUGGAUAUUGUAUCCAGGGACGUUGCAUGAACAUCACAACUCCAGGAUCAAAAUAAUUUUUCGAGAUAAUAGUUAAACAAUAAAAUUUCUUCAUAUCGACUUUUUUCGACGACUUAAAUCUAUCGAAUCGUUAAACUUUAAUUCCAUGUAUGAAAAUAUUUUAAAUAUAAUUUUGUUAAACUUUUACAUACAUUCUCAUUCCAUUUAACAAUAUUCUGUGUAAUAUAUAUUAAAGCAAAUAUUAAUUUAGAUAUAAGGAGAGUGAACAGAAUUUUUAAUGUUAUUUUUAAUAUUAUUUAUUAAAGAAACAAAAAAAGACAUUAAUGUAAACUUAUAUUAGGACAGGCAUUUAUAAUCAUUGAUACUAUCCUGCGGACUAGAAACUGUAACUAGAAGGGGUAUCCCGAAGGAAUAGAUCGAUGUUCCACUCUCUGUAGUAAGAGACGCCUGUUGCUGUAAAACAGGAGCAGCUUCAUUCAUGAAUGGCAAAACGUGAACACAUGUAUCAUUCUAAAUUUCCGUGAUAAUUAAAAAUUGUUGUAAUUAUUAAUUAAUUUUAAGAAUAUAAAUUCAUUUUUUCAUAAA